ACUUAAGCAUAUCCAUAAGCGGAGGAAAAGAAACCAACAGGGAUUGCCCUAGUAACGGCGAGUGAAGCGGCAACAGCUCAAAUUUGAAAUCUGGCGUAAGCCCGAGUUGUAAUUUGUAGAGGAUGCUUCUGGGUAGCGGCCGGUCUAAGUUCCUUGGAACAGGACGUCAUAGAGGGUGAGAAUCCCGUAUGUGACUGGCUUGCACCCUCCACGUAGCUCCUUCGACGAGUCGAGUUGUUUGGGAAUGCAGCUCUAAAUGGGAGGUAAAUUUCUUCUAAAGCUAAAUACCGGCCAGAGACCGAUAGCGCACAAGUAGAGUGAUCGAAAGAUGAAAAGCACUUUGGAAAGAGAGUUAAAAAGCACGUGAAAUUGUUGAAAGGGAAGCGCCCGCAACCAGACUUUGCGGCGGUGUUCGGCUGGUCUUCUGACCGGUUUACUCGCCGCCGUGAGGCCAUCAUCGUCUGGGACCGCUGGAUAAGACCUGAGGAAUGUAGCUCCCUUCGGGGUGUGUUAUAGCCUCUGGUGAUGCAGCGCGUCUCGGGCGAGGUCCGCGCUUCGGCAAGGAUGAUGGCGUAAUGGUUGUCGGCGGCCCGUCUUGAAACACGGACCAAGGAGUCUAACAUCUAUGCGAGUGUUCGGGUGUCAAACCCCUACGCGUAAUGAAAGUGAACGGAGGUGGGAACUUUUUGUGCACCAUCGACCGAUCCUGAUGUCCUCGGAUGGAUUUGAGUAAGAGCAUAGCUGUUGGGACCCGAAAGAUGGUGAACUAUGCCUGAAUAGGGUGAAGCCAGAGGAAACUCUGGUGGAGGCUCGCAGCUGGUUCUGACGUGCAAAUCGAUCGUCAAAUUUGGGUAUAGGGGCGAAAGCCCUAAUCGGACCCC
Molecule: ribosomal RNA, 881 nt
Filed under: Pseudocercospora rosae
Lineage: Eukaryota; Fungi; Ascomycota; Dothideomycetes; Mycosphaerellales; Mycosphaerellaceae
Description: eukaryotic LSU rRNA
Rfam family: Eukaryotic large subunit ribosomal RNA
Source: RNAcentral